AAGACUUCUCACACCCCAAAAUUUUUCUCCAAAAAUCUUCUUGCAUGCCCCACUCUUCUCCUUCUUUUAUAACAACGUCAAACAUCUUAUCCAAAAGAAAAGAUAAAGAUGAGUAAUUGCACAUUUGAAUUUAAAUCAAAUUUUGAAUUCAAAUAGACACCAACUCAUCCCUUAUCCACUAAAGGCAUGAGGCAUGGCUUAAAUUAUGCAUGGAGUGAUUUCAUGAGAAACCUUUUCUCAUGUAAUAAAUGAGGCGUAAAAAAAGAGAUGAGGU
This 274-nucleotide long non-coding RNA is filed under the name Elaeis guineensis (African oil palm). RNAcentral describes it as "long non-coding RNA (EGUI_LNC057413)". Lineage: Eukaryota; Viridiplantae; Streptophyta; Magnoliopsida; Arecales; Arecaceae. The record is from RNAcentral.